UACGUAGGGGGCAAGCGUUGUCCGGAUUUAUUGGGCGUAAAGAGCGUGUAGGCGGCUUUACAGGUCCGUUGUGAAAACUCGAGGCUCAACCUCGAGACGCCGGUGGAAACCGUAAAGCUAGAGUCCGGAAGAGGAGAGUGGAAUUCCUGGUGUAGCGGUGAAAUGCGCAGAUAUCAGGAAGAACACCCGUGGCGACGGCGGCUCUCUGGGACGGUACUGACGCUGAGACGCGAAAGCGUGGGGAGCGAACAGG
Molecule: ribosomal RNA, 253 nt
Filed under: uncultured bacterium
Lineage: Bacteria
Description: partial 16S ribosomal RNA
Rfam family: Bacterial small subunit ribosomal RNA
Source: RNAcentral